AUGAAGAACGUAGCGAAAUGCGAUAAGUAGUGUGAAUUGCAGAAUUCAGUGAAUCAUCGAAUCUUUGAACGCACAUUGCGCCCCUUGGUAUUCCAUGGGGCAUGCCUGUUCGAGCGUCAUUUGUACCUUCAAGCUCUGCUUGGUGUUGGGUGUUUGUCUCGCCUCUGCGUGUAGACUCGCCUCAAAACAAUUGGCAGCCGGCGUAUUGAUUUCGGAGCGCAGUACAUCUCGCGCUUUGCACUCAUAACGACGACGUCCAAAAGUACAUUUUUACACUCUUGACCUCGGAUCAGGUAGGGAUACCCGCUGAACUUAAGCAUAUCAAUAAGCGGAGGA
This 336-nucleotide unclassified non-coding RNA is filed under the name soil metagenome. Its description in RNAcentral is "partial contains 5.8S ribosomal RNA, internal transcribed spacer 2, and large subunit ribosomal RNA". The stretch from base 1 to 119 matches the Rfam family "5.8S ribosomal RNA", at positions 36 to 154 of the family's 154-position model. The record is from RNAcentral.